NNNCAAAGUGUUGAGUUCAGUCAGGGCAGCUUCCCUGUUCUGUUAAUUAAACUUUGGGACAUUGAAACAGGCUACGGUUGCUGAUUGAGUGCAAAGCAUUACUGUGUUCAUUUACCUCCUAGCCUACAGAG
RNAcentral lists this small nucleolar RNA (131 nucleotides) under Vicugna pacos (alpaca). The record is from RNAcentral. Lineage: Eukaryota; Metazoa; Chordata; Mammalia; Artiodactyla; Camelidae.